RNAcentral lists this ribosomal RNA (210 nucleotides) under uncultured bacterium. RNAcentral describes it as "partial 16S ribosomal RNA". It matches the Rfam family "Bacterial small subunit ribosomal RNA", at positions 129 to 334 of the family's 1533-position model. The record is from RNAcentral.
CCUGGUAGCGGGGGAUAACUAUUGGAAACGAUAGCUAAUACCGCAUAACAGUAGAUAUUGCAUGAUAUCUGCUUGAAAGGUGCAAAUGCAUCACUACCAGAUGGACCUGCGUUGUAUUAGCUAGUUGGUGGGGUAACGGCUCACCAAGGCGACGAUACAUAGCCGACCUGAGAGGGUGAUCGGCCACAUUGGGACUGAGACACGGCCCAG